ACCACAGUUUAUCUGCCUGGCUGUGAGAGCGGAGGAGGGGAGUCCUCCUCACUGACCGCCCCAGCCAGAAUGACCAUAUCAGGAGCUGAGGAAAGCUGAGCUGGCCGAAAAUAAAAGACAAAGCAGCGGAAACUUGGUGACAACAGUCUUGUUCUGCACAGACAGACAGGAAAGUAGACCAGAGUACUCUUCAGAUGGAACCUAGAUCUGAA
Molecule: long non-coding RNA, 212 nt
Organism: Salvelinus fontinalis (brook trout)
Lineage: Eukaryota; Metazoa; Chordata; Actinopteri; Salmoniformes; Salmonidae
Exons: 3
Source: RefSeq, a predicted model, not a curated record